This 531-nucleotide ribosomal RNA is filed under the name Selenops sp. n. 3 SCC-2010. Its description in RNAcentral is "partial 16S ribosomal RNA". The stretch from base 99 to 396 matches the Rfam family "Bacterial large subunit ribosomal RNA", at positions 2074 to 2646 of the family's 2925-position model. Lineage: Eukaryota; Metazoa; Arthropoda; Arachnida; Araneae; Selenopidae. The record is from RNAcentral.
UUUAAAUGAAGACCAGAACAAAAGAUUUAACGUUUAAAUUAAUAUCUCCAUUUAAUCCUAUUCAACUUAUUCUAAAUGUAAAAAAACAUUUAUAAAAAAGAAAGACGACAAGACCCUAUUGAACUUAACUUAAGUUAAACUGGGGCAGUUAAUUAAUAAUCACUUUAAUUUUAUAAAUUAAAUAAAUGAUCCAAUAUAAUUGAUAAUGAUCAAGUUACCAUAGGGAUAACAGCGUAAUAAUUUUCUAAAGUCCUUAUAAAAACAAUAGAUUACGACCUCGAUGUUGAAUUAAUUACCUGAUUAGAGCAAAAACUAAUUAAGGAAGUCUGUUCGACUUUUAAAAGAUUACAUGAUUUGAGUUCAGACCGGUAUAAGCCAGGUCGGUUUCUAUCUUCUAAAAAAUUCUUACAGUACGAAAGGGCCUAAGAAACUAAUUUAAUUAAUUUAAUUGGCAGAAAAAUGCAUUAGAAUUAGAAUCUAAUUAAACUAAUUAUCCCUUUUAUUUUAUCUUAUCUAAUUAUUAUUAUUAGA